Molecule: long non-coding RNA, 264 nt
Filed under: Trifolium pratense (red clover)
Lineage: Eukaryota; Viridiplantae; Streptophyta; Magnoliopsida; Fabales; Fabaceae
Description: long non-coding RNA (TPRA_LNC007474)
Source: RNAcentral
UGGCUAAAAUUGCAACAGUCUUAUACAAAAAUCUACCAUCGGAAGGGCUAUCAUUAACACUGUAUAUUGCCCCCGGAACAAAAGAAAAAACAAUUAAUGCCUCAAUUAGUGGUAAAAGUAAUGCGAUUUCUUGCUCGCUGAUCAUACAGAUUUUAGCCCAAUUUGAUGGCAAAGCACGCCAACUAUCAGCUAGAAGCAUGGCAUGAUUGCGUGAAGCAGCAGAAAGCCGGUGAACAAUUACAUUCUUAACAUGAGGAGCACCCU